RNAcentral lists this ribosomal RNA (413 nucleotides) under uncultured fungus. RNAcentral's name for it is "eukaryotic LSU rRNA". Lineage: Eukaryota; Fungi. The record is from RNAcentral.
AGAGUUAAAUAGUGCGUGAAAUUGUUGAAAGGGAAACGAUUGAAGUCAGUCGUACCUGCGGAUAAUCAGCCUUUAGGAUGCGAUUUUGUGGAGUGUGAGGAGCUAAUCGCCUUCAUGCCUGUAUAUUCGUGUACUUGGGGUGUACUUAUUCGUGUGGUAAGUUAACAUCAAUUUUGGUCGUCAUAAAAUGACUGGAGGAAUGUAGCUUCGAUCUCGUAUUGAAGUGUUAUAGCCUUUGGUAGAUGUGAUUAUCGGGAUUGAGGAUUGCAACGGAUACCCUUCGGGGCUACUUGUCUGAUCUCUGAUCGUUGCUCUGGUGCCGAAAGCGUGCUUACGGUUAUCAAAGUCGAUGGUUAAUAGGUUAGAACGGGUUAAAUUCGUUAAGGAUGUUGACGUAAUGGCUUUAAACGACC